This 239-nucleotide long non-coding RNA is filed under the name Elaeis guineensis (African oil palm). RNAcentral describes it as "long non-coding RNA (EGUI_LNC006203)". The record is from RNAcentral. Lineage: Eukaryota; Viridiplantae; Streptophyta; Magnoliopsida; Arecales; Arecaceae.
CACCACAACAAAGUAGUUGUUUACACAAAUUUCACAAGAAGGAUGGAAAAAAAAAAGGUAGUUCCAUAAAUUAUAAACCAAUCGGAUCAAAUUGGUACUAGAGCUUGGCCUGCCACAUUUAUAGGGAUCUUAAUUUAUAGUCAAGACACAUAGAAGAAGGACUAGUAGUGCUCAAAAUAUAUUAAAGAACAAAGUGGAUAUGGCUGCCAGUUUUAGCUCAAUAGAUGAUGAGAUGAAGG